UUGACGGUACCCUCAAAGGAAGCACCGGCUAACUCCGUGCCAGCAGCCGCGGUAAUACGGAGGGGGCAAGCGUUGUUCGGAAUUAUUGGGCGUAAAGGGCGCGUAGGCGGCUUGUUAAGUCGGAUGUGAAAUCCCCGGGCUCAACCCGGGAAGUGCAUUUGAUACUGCCGGACUUGAGUGCGGGAGAGGGAAGUGGAAUUCCCGGUGUAGCGGUGAAAUCCGUAGAUAUCGGGAGGAACACCGGUGGCGAAGGCGGCUUCCUGGACCGAUACUGACGCUGAGGCGCGAAAGCGUGGGGAGCAAACAGGAUUAGAUACCCUGGUAGUCCACGCCGUAAACGAUGGGCACUAGGUGUCGGGGGUAUUGACCCCUUCAGUGCCGAAGCUAACGCAUUAAGUGCCCCGCCUGGGGACUACGA
RNAcentral lists this ribosomal RNA (418 nucleotides) under uncultured bacterium. Its description in RNAcentral is "bacterial SSU rRNA". It matches the Rfam family "Bacterial small subunit ribosomal RNA", at positions 469 to 885 of the family's 1533-position model. The record is from RNAcentral.